UACGGGGGGGGCAAGCGUUGUUCGGAAUUACUGGGCGUAAAGGGCUCGUAGGCGGCCAACUAAGUCAGACGUGAAAUCCCUCAGCUUAACUGGGGAACUGCGUCUGAUACUGGAUGGCUUGAGUUUGGGAGAGGGAUGCGGAAUUCCAGGUGUAGCGGUGAAAUGCGUAGAUAUCUGGAGGAACACCGGUGGCGAAGGCGGCAUCCUGGGCCAACACUGACGCUGAGUGAGCGAAAGCCAGGGGAGCAAACGGG
Molecule: ribosomal RNA, 254 nt
Filed under: uncultured bacterium
Lineage: Bacteria
Description: partial 16S ribosomal RNA
Rfam family: Bacterial small subunit ribosomal RNA
Source: RNAcentral